Molecule: ribosomal RNA, 491 nt
Filed under: uncultured bacterium
Lineage: Bacteria
Description: bacterial SSU rRNA
Rfam family: Bacterial small subunit ribosomal RNA
Source: RNAcentral
AACGCUGGCGGCGUGCUUAACACAUAGCAAGUCGAACGAAGCUCCCAAACUUGCGUUUCGGACAGAGAGAGGGAUGACUUAGUGGCGGACGGGUGAGUAAUGCGUGAGCAACCUGCCCUUCAGAGGGGGACAACAGUUGGAAACGACUGCUAAUACCGCAUAAUGUAUUCGGAAGGCAUCUUCUGAAUACCAAAGAUUUAUCGCUGAAGGAUGGGCUCACGUCUGAUUAGCUAGUUGGUGAGGUAAUGGCUCACCAAGGCUGCGAUCAGUAGCCGGACUGAGAGGUUGACCGGCCACAUUGGGACUGAGAUACGGCCCAGACUCCUACGGGAGGCAGCAGUGGGGAAUAUUGGGCAAUGGGCGCAAAAGCCUGACCCAGCAACGCCGCGUGAAGGAAGAAGGCUUUCGGGUUGUAAACUUCUUUUGGCAGGGACGAAGAAAGUGACGGUACCUGCAGAAUAAGCUCCGGCUAACUACGUGCCAGCCGCGGC